This 403-nucleotide ribosomal RNA is filed under the name uncultured bacterium. RNAcentral's name for it is "partial 16S ribosomal RNA". It matches the Rfam family "Bacterial small subunit ribosomal RNA", at positions 30 to 526 of the family's 1533-position model. The record is from RNAcentral.
AUUGAACGCUGGCGGCAGGCCUAACACAUGCAAGUCGAGCGAGCGGCGGACGGGAGAGUAAUGUAUGGGGACUGCCCGAUAGAGGGGGAUAACUACUGGAAACGGUGGCUAAUACCGCAUACUAUCGGAUAACCCAUAUGGGAUUAGCUAGUAGGUGGGGUAAAGGCUCACCUAGGCGACGAUCUCUAGCUGGUCUGAGAGGCUGAUCAGCCCCACUGGGACUGAGACACGGCCCAGACUCAUACGGAGGCCGCAGUCGUGAAUAUUGCGCAAUGGGGGCAAGCCUGAUGCAGCCCUGCCGCGUAUAUGAAGAAGGCCUUAGGGUUUUAAAGUACUUUCAGCGGGGAAGCGUUACCCGAAGAAGAAGCACCGGCUAACUCCGUGCCAGCAGCCGCGGUAAUAC